This 468-nucleotide ribosomal RNA is filed under the name uncultured bacterium. Its description in RNAcentral is "partial 16S ribosomal RNA". It matches the Rfam family "Bacterial small subunit ribosomal RNA", at positions 28 to 507 of the family's 1533-position model. The record is from RNAcentral.
GACGAACGCUGGCGGCGUGCUUAACACAUGCAAGUCGAACGGAAAGGCCCUGCUUUUGUGGGGUGCUCGAGUGGCGAACGGGUGAGUAACACGUGAGUAACCUGCCCUUGACUUUGGGAUAACUUCAGGAAACUGGGGCUAAUACCGGAUAGGAGCUCCUGCUGCAUGGUGGGGGUUGGAAAGUUUCGGCGGUUGGGGAUGGACUCGCGGCUUAUCAGCUUGUUGGUGGGGUAGUGGCUUACCAAGGCUUUGACGGGUAGCCGGCCUGGGAGGGUGACCGGCCACAUUGGGACUGAGAUACGGCCCAGACUCCUACGGGAGGCAGCAGUGGGGAAUAUGGCACAAUGGGCGGAAGCCUGAUGCAGCAACGCCGCGUGCGGGAUGACGGCCUUCGGGUUGUAAACCGCUUUCGCCUGUGACGAAGCGGGAGUGACGGUAAUGGGUAAAGAAGCACCGGCUAACUACGUG